GCGGCCGUAGUCUAGCCUGGUCCAGGACACCGGCCUCCCGAGCCGAUAACCCGGGUUCAAAUCCCGGCGGCCGCACCA
RNAcentral lists this transfer RNA (78 nucleotides) under Candidatus Bathyarchaeota archaeon. RNAcentral describes it as "tRNA-Gly". It matches the Rfam family "tRNA". Rfam says of the family: Transfer RNA (tRNA) molecules are approximately 80 nucleotides in length. Lineage: Archaea; Thermoproteati; Candidatus Bathyarchaeota. The record is from RNAcentral. RNAcentral also lists the same sequence under 1 other name.